GCGGCCACCGCUAUCAAGUUCCGACUAAGCCAUGCGAGUCAAGGUAUCGUAAGAUGCCGGCAAACUGCUCAGUAACACGUGGAUAAUCUAACCUUGAGUAAGGGAUAACCUCGGGAAACUGAGGAUAAUACCUUAUAAUUGCUUAAAACUGGAAUGUUUAAGCAAUAAAAGUUCCGACGCUCAAGGAUGAGUCUGCGACCUAUCAGGUAGUAGGUGGUGUAAUGGACCACCUAGCCUCAGACGGGUACGGGCCCUGGGAGGGGUAGCCCGGAGAUGGACUCUGAGACAUAAGUCCAGGCCCUACGGGGCGCAGCAGGCACGAACACUGUGCAAUGCGCGAAAGCGCGACACGGGGAGCUUGAGUGUCUUGGCAUAGCCAAGACUUUUCUCAUUCCUAAAAAGCAUGAGGAAUAAGUGCUGGGUAAGACGGGUGCCAGCCGCCGCGGUAACACCCGCAGCACGAGUAGUGGUCACUUUUAUUGAGCCUAAAGCGUUCGUAGCCGGUUUUGUAAAUCUUCAGAUAAAGCCUGAAGCUUAACUCCAGAAAGUCUGAAGAGACUGCAAGACUUGAGAUCGGGUGAGGUUAAACGUACUUUCAGGGUAGGGGUAAAAUCCUGUAAUCCCGGAAGGACGACCAGUGGCGAAAGCGUUUAACUAGAACGAAUCUGACGGUAAGGAACGAAGGCUAGGGUAGCAAACCGGAUUAGAUACCCGGGUAGUCCUAGCUGUAAACAUUGCCCAUUUGAUGUUGCUUUUCCGUUGAGGGAAGGCAGUGUCGGAGCGAAGGUGUUAAAUGGGCCGCUUGGGAAGUAUGGUCGCAAGACUGAAACUUAA
RNAcentral lists this ribosomal RNA (834 nucleotides) under archaeon enrichment culture. Its description in RNAcentral is "bacterial SSU rRNA". It matches the Rfam family "Archaeal small subunit ribosomal RNA", at positions 20 to 859 of the family's 1478-position model. The record is from RNAcentral.